AGGACGAACGCUGGCGGCGUGCCUAAUACAUGCAAGUCGAACGGUCUUUCUAUGGAAGCUUGCUUCCACUGAGAAGAUAGUGGCGAACGGGUGAGUAACACGUGGGUAACCUGCCCAUAAGAGGGGGAUAACAUCCGGAAACGGGUGCUAAUACCGCAUAGUUUUCUGAUCGCAUGAUUGAGAAAGGAAAGACGGCCUUUGUGCUGUCGCUUAUGGAUGGACCCGCGGCGUAUUAGUUAGUUGGUGAGGUAACGGCUCACCAAGACGAUGAUACGUAGCCGACCUGAGAGGGUGAUCGGCCACAUUGGGACUGAGACACGGCCCAAACUCCUACGGGAGGCAGCAGUAGGGAAUCUUCCGCAAUGGACGAAAGUCUGACGGAGCAACGCCGCGUGAGUGAAGAAAGGUUUUCGGAUCGUAAAACUCUGUUGUCAGAGAAGAACAAGUUGGAGAGUAACUGCUCCAGCCUUGACGGUAUCUGACCAGAAAGCCACGGCUAACUACGUGCCAGCCGCAGC
RNAcentral lists this ribosomal RNA (518 nucleotides) under uncultured bacterium. RNAcentral describes it as "bacterial SSU rRNA". It matches the Rfam family "Bacterial small subunit ribosomal RNA", at positions 26 to 518 of the family's 1533-position model. The record is from RNAcentral.